Molecule: long non-coding RNA, 285 nt
Organism: Myxocyprinus asiaticus (Chinese sucker)
Lineage: Eukaryota; Metazoa; Chordata; Actinopteri; Cypriniformes; Catostomidae
Exons: 3
Source: RefSeq, a predicted model, not a curated record
CUUAGCUUCUCUUCUAGCGCUCAUGAAUUUGUUGCGUUCCACUUGAAGUUAAUACGGUUUUGCGACAUGAGGAGGAUGACAAUUUCACGUGAUGGCACCCACUGGCAUAUGGGACACCCUAUGAUAUGAGCCAUUCUGAUAUUCAGGUGAAAUUUGUUUUUUUUUCUCUCCUCUUUUUCUCCCCAAUUUGGAAUUCCUAAUGCACUCUAAGUCCUUGUGGUGGCAGAGGACGAAUCUCAGUUGCCUCUGCGUCUCAGACCAUCAACCAGUGCAUCUUAUUAAGUG